Molecule: small RNA, 815 nt
Filed under: Drosophila ananassae
Lineage: Eukaryota; Metazoa; Arthropoda; Insecta; Diptera; Drosophilidae
Description: GF27015
Source: RNAcentral
AUCAGUAAUGCAAAUGGGAAGUAGCUGCGUGCAUGAAAUCUCUAAAAACAGAAGUACAAAAAAAGCUGUCAAAUUUAAUUGCGUAAAAUUAUGGAAAUAUUUAAAUCGGGCUCUAAAAGCGGCACCUAACAAUAGCUCAUCGAGUUGGUAGCCAAUCGAGCCACCCACUCAGUUGCCAGGGCAGGUGUUUUUAGAUUCAAAUUCUGGACACGUUUCCAAUGGAUUGGCUUUGUUGCCGGUAGUAAGAAUCGCCUGCUGCAUAACAAGGGGAACUCGUCAGCGGAAAAAAAUGAUCAGUAAACUUCAGUAUUAAGUGUUUCAAUAAAAAACAGUCAAAGUAUUUGAUACAAAAUGUUAUAACAUGGCCCUGAAACAGAUCAUAUAACCGAGCCCCCUUAGGUACGAUAAAGAACACUAAAUAACGUUCCGAAUGCACUCGAAUGCCUGCACAAUAAGUAAAUAACAAAUAAAGUGAAAAUUAACAAAAUUGAAUUUAAUGAGUGGCCCACUAAGUCGAGUGCAUUUGAAGAGGAAAACAACAGGGGCAUGGAAAUCGACGCACGCCUUGAAGAAAAUCGUUCAACUGUAGACAGCCUAGCGCCAAACCCACAAAAAUUCCCCCAGUUAGGCCGAAUGCACAACGCCAAGUCUAAAAUUGAACAAAAAAAAGUUCAAAAGUACUAGAAGAAUUAUAAACUUAAGCUUGGACAUUAGGAAUGCCGCAGUGUGUCCUACAGUGCAUACAUCCUACAGAGUCUUGGCCCCGUUCAAUAUAACCUCCCUAGCCUGGAGCUUGGAAACCUGAUGAUCGACAA